This 919-nucleotide long non-coding RNA is filed under the name Triticum aestivum (bread wheat). Its description in RNAcentral is "long non-coding RNA (TAES_LNC010702)". Lineage: Eukaryota; Viridiplantae; Streptophyta; Magnoliopsida; Poales; Poaceae. The record is from RNAcentral.
ACCCAAGAUUAUGUCAUACGCAGUAGCAACAUACAGAGCAUAAUAAUCUGCAGAAACAUUGCCAUCUUGUGGCCAGUAGUAUACAUCAAAAAAGCUUAGCUCACAUCAGAACCUUUUAACUAUAAGCCUACACCUCAUAUCAACACCAACAUCUCAUGCACCGUCCUCCCAGAAUUUACUUGUAUGAAUUGCUAAAGCUGAACUACUAUUUUCAAAACCAAAAUCCAGUAAUGGAGAAUUAGAUGGACCUAUACUACUUUAUUUCAGCAAUACAUAUAUUUUAAUUGUUGCAGUGGCCUUCAAUUCCAGCUCCAGGUUAUUCCAAAUGGCUUCAUCCAUGAAAGAACAUGCCUUAGACUCUUCGGAAGUCCUCCAGCUUCUCUAAAUCCCCAACUCCGUCUCCUCACUCAUGUAUGCAGCUUCUCGUAGGAAUCUUGUUCCGUUCGGCACGCUCCCUGUGAUUUCUAUAGCCUUCGUUCCUACAACACAUAUAAUUAUUAUGAACCAGUAAAUUAUAUAUGUUGCUUAAAAUUUAUCCUCAGCAGCAACAUACCAUAGUAGCAUUGUUUGAGAUUCUGAAUUAUAAACACAGCCAGUAGCAUCAAAUUUUAUAUAUCAUGAGCACACAUAUGUACAUUGAUAAUAACGUGAGACAUGUGGGUACAUGCAUACAUUAUGCUAACCUGGUAAUCGUGAGCUUUAUUAGAAAAAUUGCCCCAAGAAACCCAGCAGAACUGGUUCCACUACAUAUAAUAUGAAUGCAUCUGCACGAAACUAAAGGAGCCGAGCCAGUGUUAGAGGAAAAGGUUUGCAAAUCGGCUUGAGGAUUCCCCGAGCCAGCCCAAUGUUCUGCGGCGAAUUAGGAACCAACAAAAAGCAGUAUCAUCAACCAAAAAGGAUCUGACUUAGUAGUACCUGG